Molecule: long non-coding RNA, 1650 nt
Organism: Sceloporus undulatus (fence lizard)
Lineage: Eukaryota; Metazoa; Chordata; Lepidosauria; Squamata; Phrynosomatidae
Exons: 2
Source: RefSeq, a predicted model, not a curated record
ACAGAGGUCCUCCUUCUGUCUGGGGGUCCAGGAGAAAUUCCAAAAUGCCCUUUUUUUUUUGAGCCAUAAGACCUGUCUUUGUGUCAUCCAGUGCCUCAGCAGGCAAGAAAGAGUGUUAAGUAUGGAGGCUGGCACAGCAAAGGUGUUUCCUGACAUCCCAAACAUUACUAUGAAGAACCCAUCCUGUCCCUGUCCCUGAGUUAGUGUUGCCCUUCCCAGAAGGCGGACAGUAUUACAUGGAGUGAAUUGACUGUGACUGCUCACCUCACAAAGAUGGACACUUCUAACUAAGAGGCAGCUGUGGAUGGCCUUGUGGUAAGGGUUAACUUGCUCUGACCUCAAAAAACUGAUGAUGAGAUAUACUCAGCCUCUCUCCAUGACCUGAACCUAGAAAAGUUCCUCUUUUGACACUUUUGUUGCUAUGGGCUGUCAAGCUGGCUUCAAUGUAUAGUAAUCCUAUGAAUGAGAACCCUACAAGAGACUGUUAUUCCUCUUUUCCUGCUUCCUUUGAUUUUACUGAGCAUUAUCCUCUUUUACAAUGAGGUAUGUUGUUUCAUGAUAUGUCCAAAGUACAAGAUCCUCAGUUUGGUCAUUUUAGCUUCAAGGGAGAGUUCAGGCUUAGAUUACUUCUUUCAGAAUCUUCCAUCCAGGAUUCUGGGUACUGUAGGCCAAAUAGUAGAUUUCUCAAGUCAUGUACAUUAACAGAUUCCUUUGCAAGAUCAGAUGGACGAAUUACAGGAAUCUAGUACUAAUUAAGAUGGAAGAAGAAAGGCCUAAGAUAUGAAAGAGUAAAAUUGCAACAAAAUUGAGAGCCUUUUUAAAAAAUAAAAACAAAACGUUAAAUUGGCUUCAUCCAAAUUACUGGCUAUAAGGAUGACACUUAUUUCUAUCAACAUACUUGUUCAGUAUUCAUUAUGCUCAAAACAUCUAAGUUAAUGUCUGGAAUCUUACUUGCUAACAUUUAUGUUGUACUUUAAUAAUAUUUUAACUGAACAAUUAAUUUUAAUUUUCUAAUCUCAUGUAUUUGCUAAGAUACAUACACUACACAUUGUCAUACACUAAAUCUUUGUCACAAGGAGAUGCUGUGAAAGUGGCAACUUCGUAGAGACAGGUAGCCCUUUCCCUUAUGUGCUUCAAAGCUUGAAGAUAUUGUAACAUAAUCUCUUUACAUUGUCUACCUCCAGUGGUCCCUUGACUGGAGAUGUCAAGGCUUAAAUAUGGAAUUUUCUGCGUGCCAAGUCUGUUCUUUACCACUCAGCUAUCACUGAAUGGCAUGACCAUGCCUUGCGCUACCAGCCAAAGAUAUGGAACAUGGAUGUGAAUGCUUGCAGUGUCAUGAGGACAAGCCUUGUGAACAGUAUAACAGGCAACAGUGACGGUGAAUUAGCCAUUCCAAUAUCAAUUGUGGCAAUCUUCUUGUGGCAAGAGAAGAAUGUCCAAACAACUGUAAGAGAUCUACAGUAAAUCUACUUAACUACUGUAUUUAGAUUUUUGGCAAGGAAAUAUCUCAGUCUCCAUGAUGUUUGAACUGUGGUACUUUACAACUAAAACAUAAAUAAUUGCCUAUUCUCAUAUUUUGGCAAGUUGAAGGGGGGAAUUAUCUUUACUUUCUGCUCAUAUAUUUAAAAAACAAUAAAGGUACAAAGCACA